GGGUGUGAUCAUGCCAACACUAAUUCACCGGAUCCUAUCAGAACUCCGUAGUCAAGUGUGCUUGGGCGAGAAUAGUACCGGGAUGGGUGACCCCUUGGGAAGUCCUCAUGUUGCACCCC
Ribosomal RNA from Elaeis guineensis (African oil palm), 119 nucleotides. The record is from RefSeq and is a predicted model, not a curated record. NCBI's taxonomy places the organism in Eukaryota, Viridiplantae, Streptophyta, Magnoliopsida, Arecales, Arecaceae.